GUCUUUUCGCAUAUACAGGCAGCAGGGUUGGCAUGGAAUUCACCUCUUCCAGGCGUAAUUUCCAUGGGCUCUCCAAUGAAUCCUUUCUGUAUUGUUUGUACCUGUGAGGAGAAUGCAUCCCAUGAAAUAUUUGACCUAUUCAUAAAUAAGGGAUAGAGCUGUUUAGCACUUGGCCUGAUUGUUCUCUUGUGGCCAAAAUAUCUCCUGCAGAGAGCACCAAAUUUUGGCCAUGUUACCGUUGUUGUUAGUUACAAAAGCAUCACUUCCAUCACAAACAAUAAAAUCAAUUGCCGCCAUGCGAGAUGAGUGUGCCAAGAAUGGAGUCAAUUCCUCUUCUGUGGAUAAUGUUUCUUUGGUAUGGUAAUUGGGGAAGAGCAAUUUGAGGGGUGCUAAAGUGUCUUCCCCUCCAUAUAUCUCACCGGAAGCAACAUAGAUAUGGACAUCACUUUUGUAGCCUAAUGCCCUCAACAUUAGCCCUACCUCCUCAGGGGUUAGUGGGCAUCGACCUUGCCUCCUUCCUUUCUCUGGGUCGCCUAUCUGAAAUUUUUCCAUCGCUUGCGAAUGGAGCCUAGUUCUCUUUUCUCCUUUUCUCCACCACCAUAAUAACACCCAGAAAAGGCAAGCAUGUCAGCAUACCUCAGGUGCAGAGCAAUAAAAUGUCUGCUCUUCUCUCGCAUUCGUUUUAUUAACUUUUCACCCAAUUCUUGUAUUGGGUCAGUAAAUCUCAAAGCAUGAUAGUUGACUCGGCAACGCAGUUUUUGCAGGUCCUUGUCCAGCUUAUUUGAGAGCCUGUAAUCAUAUUUAGGUCCACGACUUACAUGUUUCUUCAGGAGUGCAGGUAAUACACGGUUUAAGUAACAUUUUGGAGUGCAUUUUCGAGGGACGCGCAUUUUAUAAGGUUUCACAGCUUUACCCCCUUUUUCUGGAGGUUCUUUGAUAAUAUUGACAUCCUUUGCAAGAAAUGAGAUGAACCAGUGCUCUAUGCUUUUAUACCUUGAAUCUUUCCAGAAAGAUCUUUGAUCCAAUUCGGGAACAACAAGCGUUGCAUUUAAAAUGCGUGCAGCGACAACAGCAUCAACUAUC
Molecule: small RNA, 1083 nt
Filed under: Oryza sativa Japonica Group (Japanese rice)
Lineage: Eukaryota; Viridiplantae; Streptophyta; Magnoliopsida; Poales; Poaceae
Description: sRNA Os09g0548083
Source: RNAcentral